Molecule: ribosomal RNA, 459 nt
Filed under: uncultured bacterium
Lineage: Bacteria
Description: partial 16S ribosomal RNA
Rfam family: Bacterial small subunit ribosomal RNA
Source: RNAcentral
CCUACGGGGGGCAGCAGUGAGGAAUAUUGGUCAAUGGGCGCGAGCCUGAACCAGCCAAGUCGCGUGAGGGAAGACGGUCCUAUGGAUUGUAAACCUCUUUUGUCGGGGAGCAAAAGACGCCACGCGUGGCGUUCCGAGAGUACCCGACGAACAAGCAUCGGCUAACUCCGUGCCAGCAGCCGCGGUAAUACGGAGGAUGCGAGCGUUAUCCGGAUUUAUUGGGUUUAAAGGGUGCGCAGGCGGACGAUCAAGUCAGCGGUAAAAUUGAGAGGCUCAACCUCUUCGAGCCGUUGAAACUGGUUGGCUUGAGUGAGCGAGCAGUAGGCGGAAUGCGUGGUGUAGCGGUGAAAUGCAUAGAGAUCACGCAGAACUCCGAUUGCGAAGGCAGCAUACCGGGGCUCAACUGACGCUCAUGCACGAAAGUGUGGGUAUCGAACAGGAUUAGAUACCCGGGUAGUC